Molecule: transfer RNA, 71 nt
Filed under: Candidatus Portnoybacteria bacterium RBG_13_40_8
Lineage: Bacteria; Candidatus Portnoyibacteriota
Also listed under: 1 other name
Description: tRNA-Val
Rfam family: tRNA
About the family: Transfer RNA (tRNA) molecules are approximately 80 nucleotides in length. Their secondary structure includes four short double-helical elements and three loops (D, anti-codon, and T loops).
Source: RNAcentral
GGGCGAUUAGUUCACCGGUAGAACGCUUCGUUUACAUCGAAGAGGAUGGGGUUCAAUUCCCUAAUCGCCCA